This 70-nucleotide transfer RNA is filed under the name Sphaerodactylus townsendi. Its description in RNAcentral is "tRNA-Thr". It matches the Rfam family "tRNA". Rfam says of the family: Transfer RNA (tRNA) molecules are approximately 80 nucleotides in length. The record is from RNAcentral. Lineage: Eukaryota; Metazoa; Chordata; Lepidosauria; Squamata; Sphaerodactylidae.
GGUUAUGGCUCAGUGGAAGAGUCUCUGUUUUGUAUUCAGAAGGUUCCAAGUUUAAUCUUUGGCAGCUCCA